UCAGCCGGCCAUAGCGUGUGGGCCCGACCUGGACUCGUCCGAUCCCAGAAGUCAAACCAUACGUCGCCCCGGUGCUACUGACUUCCGAGAGGAGUCGGGAAGCCGAGGUGCCGGCGCCU
This 119-nucleotide ribosomal RNA is filed under the name Nitrososphaerota archaeon. RNAcentral also lists the same sequence under 1 other name. The record is from RNAcentral. Lineage: Archaea; Thermoproteati; Nitrososphaerota.